RNAcentral lists this long non-coding RNA (4655 nucleotides) under Coffea arabica (coffee). RNAcentral describes it as "long non-coding RNA (CARA_LNC003151)". The record is from RNAcentral. Lineage: Eukaryota; Viridiplantae; Streptophyta; Magnoliopsida; Gentianales; Rubiaceae.
UCAAUCAAUCACCUAUACAAGAACUGUGUCUCUAUAUGUCAUAGAAUGCAUGAAUCAGAGUCUGAUGUUACUGCCCUAUUAUAGUUUCAUAAGUAUGCUACUGCUGGAGGUUUUGGUACGUAAUGAGUUCCAGUAUACUACUCACCCAUAAUGCAAGGAGCUCUAUUUCGAUAUGUCCAACUUAUUAUUUUGAGACUCACUAUCCUUUAUUGAUUAUGCGUGUAUUGGGUCUGUGGGAUUGUGGCACCUUUUAGCAGGAGUUUCCAUGGGUUUAACUUUUGGACAUAAAAAACAAAAGAUAAUCUUUAGCUUUGAAAUUUGUCUGUAUCUGCAUGAGAUUUUGGUGGAAUACAAUUCUUUUAACCGUGGGGCUGGGUAAAUGAACAGCUAGUGAACUGGCUGCUGCACAGGUAAGAAAGUGGGAGUGGUACCUGUUAAAUAUUCCAGAAUGACUGAGCUGGCUGUGACUUUGGAGAGAAGCAAGAAGGGACUAGAGGUAAUCUAAAAACAUGGAUUCAUGUUCAUGUUAAAUGCAAGAGAGAGAUUCAUCAAGCUCUGGCAUAUCUUAACAUCUACUAGAUUUAAUGCAAUGUGCGCCGGUGAAGCUUGGUCCACAGUCUCAUGACUUGUCACUAUUCAGCUCAGACCAUCAUUUUGUUUUAUAAAAGCAUUCAUGCUGACAUAUACACAGGAAGAGAGCCCUAGAGUUUAGACUGUUUGCUCCUAAUACCUGAAUCUUUUCCAUUGAUGUCACCUCACGAGUCAAAAAAUCUGAGUGCAUGUUUACGGUGUUUUGAACUUGUGGCCAGACCAUGUUUUGUUACGGAUCUGUUAAUUGGUUGAAUAUGUACUAGAGUUAGUGGUUGCUGACAAUUGUCUCCCAUUUCAUUGUAUGCGGUGCACAGGAGAAAACAACUCUAAAACAGGAAUUUUGCCAUAUUGAUAAAAUCAGCUUUGUAUAGAGAUGGUUUGGCUGAACUAACAAAUUGAUUCACUAGGGAAGAUAUGGAUUGAGAUGAGGAAUGGAUGAUGUUCAGAGGACAGUGUUUUAAAUGUUGGAUUUAUUGUGGAUUUCUUAGGUAGAGGAUGCUAUUGAAAGGAUAAUGUUAAUCAGAGAUCUAUUAGUGUCUUAGAUAGUUGAGAUGUUCACCAUGGUCAGUUUUUUAUGGAGGAUCAACUGGCAAGGAUUAGUAGGUGAAUGAGAGAACAGAAAAUGGAAAGGCUGGAAAAGAAGAUAAAUAAGGUAACUGAUAAACAUACGUGUUCUUCUAUUUAAUCAUGCAUUAGUGUCGGAAAAGUAUGUGCUUAUCAUAUGGACAAGGCAUGUUUUACAUACGGUCAUUUUUUGUUGUAGUACAUUUGGAUCAAGUCCUGAUGCUAGAAAAAUUGGUUUUGGAGUCCAUGCCCUUUCUUAACGUUUUCUAUGAACUGAAUCUGAUUAUAGUUCUCACGUUGAUGAUUGCCAAGUAUAUGAACAAUAUGGCAGGUAUUAAGUUGGAGCAUGAGGACAAAUAGAAAAAAGUCUCCUGAUUCAUAUCUAAGCUUUAGUUGGGAUGUUUAAUAUAGCAUCAUAUUGGUCUUGUGCUAGAUUUUCAGAUCAGCUUUCAUAAUUAUGCAAGUUGUUACUAAAUUUUUAACUAUAUUAGGAUGAGGAUUUUCUACUAAAUGAGCAAGUUAACAUAUUAUAAACUAUAUCUAUGCCACCACAUUCUAAUCACAUUAUUUCUCUCUCUACUCCAGCUUGUAUCGUCUGAAUCAUUUCUCUGAAAUAACUGUGUAGUAUGCCAGUAACUUUUAAGAAGUAAGAUUUCUGUUAUUUCCACAUUUGAGGUUGUUUAUUUGUUUCAGCAAGUAUUGUUGACUUUCUUUGUUGAUCAAUUACUUGCAGUUCACGUCUUUGUUGACCUCUCCAAUAGCCAGGUUUUCAGGACUCUGGUGUUCCAUUUGUAAUGGCUCCCAACAUUAUCUACACAGAUUGUGUGUGGUAAUGGUGAAUAAGAACCGAGCUUUUGCUUGAGACUUUGUUCCUGAGUUUGCAGACAACUUUAGAAACCUGUGAGAAUAAGAAACUAUCUUGCACAAAGAUUACUAAGGUGCCUUCUCAAACCACUUUUUCUCUUGGUGAGUCUUGGUUUAGAUUGCUGAUUUUUGUCACACCAUGGCAUCCUCUUGUUAAUGCAUUUCCACUUUAUUAUACCAUAGAUUGAUGCUGUUUUCCAAUAUGCCUGCUGUCUACGGACUUGUCAGCUAAUUCAACAUGCUAAAGUUCAUUAAACUGCUUCAUACUACCCCUACUUAGCACAGCAUCGUCUCUUUUCAGCUUGUUGCCUGAAUUUCAUGUUUCACAUCUCGGUACCAUGCUACUGAAGGAAUUUUUUUUUUUUUUUUUGUAAAGCCAUCUUGUUGUUAUCCUGUGGGGGUCAUAUGAGUCAUUUGGGAGCUUCCUAAGUGCUCAGGAAGUUAUUGUAGUUUCAUCUAGAAGCAAAAUUUAUACUACUUUGUAUUUGUUCUGUUCUCUCUUUCAUUUUUCUUCCUUUUGGGACAUGUGGAAGGAACUUGUAUGAGCAUUCACUUUUGUUAAUAUUGAUCAUUAGUCAGGUUUGAAGGUUCACAGAGAAUGUGUAAAUUUGGUUUUUCCCCGUUACUGAAAUUCUCACAAGUGCAUUUUUGGGGAGAAGUGGGGUGGCAAAAAGGCUAACAAUUUCAAUGUACUAGAUUCUUUUAGGUCUAUUAUAAGUAUUAACAUCUUGGUUUUCGUUUGCUGGAUUUCCCUCUCAGCCUAGGGAUACUGUUUUGAAUUGUAAGCCUUUCUUUUGCCCCCAACCUUAUCUUCCUCCUCUUCUUUUUUAUUUUUAUUUUUUUUUUGUUCUUUAAAAUUUUAUCGACUGUUUUGUUUGUUCAAGUCAUACAUAUCCAGUUUAUUUGGGCAGUUGCUUGACUGUUUGUUUUAGUCAUCUUUCGCAAUAAACUUCUGAUGUAAAACAUAACCUGUUACAACGGUGCUUUUAAAGUAAAAUUUUGCUAAAAUAAAUGAAAGUUGGAGAAGUAGGAAGGCUCAGGCUUUUUGAGCCAGUACUGAUGAUUGUAUAACUGUAAAUCCUUUUUUUUUUUUGCCCCGGGAGGCCAGGGGAGGGGGGGGGGGUUAAGAUUAAUUAUGUGUUAGCCAUCGAAUGCUGAAUAGCUCUCAACUUACGUUUUCCAAUUACCUUUUUAUUUCGCAUGAUAUUUACCAAUACCGAAUAGUUUAUAUUACCCCUCAGGCCCUCACCAACCAAAGCUUUACGAGUUAGUUAUGUGGAACUUGUUUAGUGCAAUUUCUAGUAGAAGCACUGAGACAUUUCUUUUUGUUUUGUUUCGUAAAACAUAAGCAUCUUUGAUUCUCAUUACUUGCCUGUUUCAUCAGAGGAAGAUGUAGGAAAUAGUGAUUGUAUAGUCCAUCCGAAUAAUUAAUGGAAGCUGUUAUGAUGCUAAACUUGCAAAUGUCUGUUUCAUAAUCAAUGGAUUCUUGGUAGGUUCCAACUUGCAAUUGGCACAUUGAAUCAUUAUACCACAAGGUUGAUGGUCAGUUUCUGUCAAUUUAGUUAGUAGAACAGUGAUCAUAUUACAUCUAGUGAAUCAGAAACUGCUAAUUUUCCAACCCCUAAAAGAGAACAAAAUUUAAGAAGGAACUGAGAAAAAUAAUAUGUUGGUGGACAGUGGGUCCAAGAUAAUUAUUUUGUUUGCUAAUAUAUCUUAGUCCUGCCUUGUUUGUUUGUCUUGAUGGUUAAUUGCUUUUCUUCUUCUGUUAGAAACACAAGUAGUUUCUUGCACUUCUUUAUUGCCUUACCAACUUAGCAUGAGGGUUAGGAUGUGAAAACAAGAAGUCUAAAACAUACUCAUUGCAAUGUCCUGCUUAAAUUGACUCAUAUUUAUUGCUUUGAGUUGCAUAGGGAUAUAACCUUUUUGCUUAAAGAGAAAAAUCAAAGACACAUUCAUAGCAAAUCUAGUGUGACAAACAACCUCACAUAGUACUUAAAUAUGUUCUUCAAUUUUUUUUUUCUUGUUUAGAAUUUUUUCGUAGUAGGAGAGAGAUGGGAUUUAAGAAACGAGGAGAAACAGGCGGAUUAGAAUACAGUUCUCUUAUUUAUUUAUUCAUGUUUCUCUUAUUUAGUUGUUGAACUCGAAAGAAAUUACAUUUGUCUUUCAAUUUUUUCUUCUAUCGAAUUUGUAAUAAAAAGCAAACAAUAUUGGCUAAAAUUAGAUACAAUUUGCGUUGCAGGAUCUAAUUAAACUUGAGGGAACAGCACCUGUGAUUCAUUUUCUAAACCAAGGAUUGAAACUCUUAAAAACUUUUGCCAGAUUCUGCAUGUCAUUUCACUGUACAUGUAAUGUUUACCAUUUAUCUCACUAUUCCUUCAAGAUAUCCAUCUGAAUCUGAAAACACUAUGAUAAUAAUCUUAUCUAGCAAAAGGCCCCCAAUGUAACUAUGAUAUAUUUAUCAAAUUACAUAGGUUCCCAAAGAACCUCUACAUGUUUGUCUAACUGGAGUCUACUGAUCUUCACUAGUACGUCAUAACCUACACCUUACAUUGAACAAAAUGAUUUAAGAUGAUUUCCAAAUUAAAGUUCAUGUUCACAAGUCAUAAACAAAAUUUACAAAAAAAAAAAAAAAAAAA